GACAGCAGUCGCCGCGGUAAUACAGAGGGUGCGAGCGUUAAUCGGAUUUACUGGGCGUAAAGCGUGCGUAGGCGGCUUUUUAAGUCGGAUGUGAAAUCCCUGAGCUUAACUUAGGAAUUGCAUUCGAUACUGGGAAGCUAGAGUAUGGGAGAGGAUGGUAGAAUUCCAGGUGUAGCGGUGAAAUGCGUAGAGAUCUGGAGGAAUACCGAUGGCGAAGGCAGCCAUCUGGCCUAAUACUGACGCUGAGGUACGAAAGCAUGGGGAGCAAACAGGAUUAGAGACCCCGGUAGUCCCUGUCUCUUAUAC
This 306-nucleotide ribosomal RNA is filed under the name uncultured bacterium. RNAcentral describes it as "partial 16S ribosomal RNA". It matches the Rfam family "Bacterial small subunit ribosomal RNA", at positions 507 to 807 of the family's 1533-position model. The record is from RNAcentral.